RNAcentral lists this transfer RNA (67 nucleotides) under Myrmeleotettix palpalis. Its description in RNAcentral is "tRNA-Ile". Lineage: Eukaryota; Metazoa; Arthropoda; Insecta; Orthoptera; Acrididae. The record is from RNAcentral. RNAcentral also lists the same sequence under 3 other names.
AAUGGAGUGCCUGAUUAAAGGAUUAUCUUGAUAGGAUAAAUAAAGUAAUUUCAAUUUACCUCCAUUA